CCAGACUCCUACGGGAGGCAGCAGUGGGGAAUAUUGCACAAUGGGGGAAACCCCGAUGCAGCGACGCCGCGUGAAGGAUGAAGUAUUUCGGUAUGUAAACUUCUAUCAGCAGGGAAGAGAAUGACGGUACCUGACUAAGAAGCCCCGGCUAACUACGUGCCAGCAGCCGCGGUAAUACGUAGGGGGCAAGCGUUAUCCGGAUUUACUGGGUGUAAAGGGAGCGUAGACGGCAUGGCAAGUCUGAUGUGAAAACCCGGGGCUCAACCCCGGGAGUGCAUUUGAAACUGUCCAGCUGGAGUGCAGGAGAGGUAAGCGGAAUUCCUAGUGUAGCGGUGAAAUGCAUAGAUAUUAGGAGGAACACCAGUGGCGAAGGCGGCUUACUGGACUGUAACUGACACUGAGGCUCGAAAGCGUGGGGAGCAAACAGGAUUAGAUACCCCUGUACG
Molecule: ribosomal RNA, 446 nt
Filed under: uncultured bacterium
Lineage: Bacteria
Description: bacterial SSU rRNA
Rfam family: Bacterial small subunit ribosomal RNA
Source: RNAcentral